GACGAACGCUGGCGGCGUGCUUAACACAUGCAAGUCGAACGGUGAAGCGCCUUCCUUUUUGGUGGGUGUGGAUGAGUGGCGAACGGGUGAGUAACACGUGAGUAACCUGCCCCCUUCUUCUGGAUAACCGCAUGAAAGUGUGGCUAAUACGGGAUAUUCUGGGUCUGUCGCAUGAUGGGUCUGGGAAAGAUAUUGUUUCGGUGGGGGAUGGGCUCGCGGCCUCUCAGCUUGUUGGUGGGGUGAUGGCCUACCAAGGCGGUGACGGGUAGCCGGCCUGAGAGGGAGGACGGUCACACUGGGACUGAGACACGGCCCAGACUCCUACGGGAGGCAGCAGUGGGGAAUAUUGCACAAUGGGCGCAAGCCUGAUGCAGCGACGCCGCGUGAGGGAUGGAGGCCUUCGGGUUGUGAACCUCUUUCGCCAGUGAAGCAGGCCUGCCUCGUUUGUGGGUGGGUUGACGGUAGCUGGAUAAGAAGCGCCGGCUAACUACGUG
This 494-nucleotide ribosomal RNA is filed under the name uncultured bacterium. Its description in RNAcentral is "partial 16S ribosomal RNA". It matches the Rfam family "Bacterial small subunit ribosomal RNA", at positions 28 to 507 of the family's 1533-position model. The record is from RNAcentral.